CGAGCACGCGCGUGUGGCAUAUCAAUAAGCGGAGGAAAAGAAACUAACUAAGGAUUCCCUUAGUAACGGCGAGUGAAGCGGGAAGAGCUCAAAUUUGAAAUCUUCAAGGUUCUACCUUGACGAAUUGUAGUUUAUAGAAGUGUUUUCUGUUAGUGGAGUGGCAAAAGUUCUUUGGAAUAGGACAUCAUAGAGGGUGAGAAUCCCGUAUUUGGUCAUUCCUCCUAGCGUUGUGAUACACUUUCAACGAGUCGGAUUGUUUGGGAAUGCAGUCCAAAAUGGGUGGUAAAUUUCAUCUAAAGCUAAAUAUUGGCGAGAGACCGAUAGCGAACAAGUACCGUGAGGGAAAGAUGAAAAGAACUUUGAAAAGAGAGUUAAACAGUACGUGAAAUUGUCAAAAGGGAAGCGUUUGACACCAGUGUUGUUUUUCCGAAAAUCAAUUACGAAUGUUUUGUUUUUGAGGAGUUAUGACUUCAUCGGCUUGCUCCUUUCUUUACGAAACUUUCUUAAUGCACUUUUCGGUUAACAAGUCAACAUCAAUUUCUUUUGUUGUAAAAGGGUACGAGGAAGGUGGCUUUCUUUUCGGAGAAAGUGUUUAUAGCCUUGUGCCUCUGCAAUCGGAGAGAUUGAGGUCUGCAGCGUAGAUCCUUCGGGGUUAGAUACAUUUGUGCUAAGUUAUAGCCUUGUAUAGACAACUUGUUGACUAUGCUCAGUCAUGUAGCUUACUCGCUGAUGCUAUUUUACCUACGCUUAGGAUGUUGAGCGCAUGUCUCUCUCU
Molecule: ribosomal RNA, 775 nt
Filed under: uncultured Neocallimastigales
Lineage: Eukaryota; Fungi; Neocallimastigomycota; Neocallimastigomycetes; Neocallimastigales
Description: partial large subunit ribosomal RNA
Rfam family: Eukaryotic large subunit ribosomal RNA
Source: RNAcentral